Marmota monax (woodchuck) is the source of this 823-nucleotide long non-coding RNA. RefSeq lists it as uncharacterized. The transcript is spliced from 4 exons. NCBI's taxonomy places the organism in Eukaryota, Metazoa, Chordata, Mammalia, Rodentia, Sciuridae. The record is from RefSeq and is a predicted model, not a curated record.
UUAGGAGAGGUCUUGAGGAUCCGGAGAGACUGGAAAAUAUUUACCAGCAUGGCCUGAGGCAGAAUUGUCUGGAAGGAAAUUUUUUUAAUGGGAAUAGAGAAAACAUGAUCCAGAAAGCCAGCAGGUCCCUGGCUUAAUAACUUCAUGAAUGACUCCAAGAAUUGCUGGAGGCCUUGGGGACAGAAGUUGGCCCUGAAAGCAAAUGAAGCUAACUCCCUAGAGCUCACGGACCCCAGGCUUUGGUGACUUGAACCAAAUUGUUUCUCCUGGGACCUAACUGUGGCUGAGCUGGGACUAGAUGGCAGGGACCAUGCCCGGCAAUGGCUCUUCAAGGGAAAAUGGAAUCCUCAAAGUCAUAGUUACCCAGGGGGAUGGGACCUGCAUCAGAUUGCCUCUAAGUGGGGACCAUCAAGAAGCUCAUUUUCAGAGGAUGGAAAACUCUCAUCUACUGCAUUCCCCUGGCAGGCAGAGAUGGCUGCUGGCUGAAUUCUCCUGAGCCAGAGAGAGGGUUCCAGAACUGCUGGUGGGGUGUUUCUCAGACUGGAGCCGUCCAAGGCAGAGCAGGCAGUUUGGAUAGUGCCUGCCCGAGCCAGCAUGCACAGAACCCAGAGACACGCAUGUGAUAACCGUUGGGGCUGCUUCCCAGGAACAUCCCACCCAGAUUUGCCUUCUUCGAAGAAAAGUAACGCAAAAGGCCAUUUUUCACUUUUAAAUAGCUUUCAUUCUAUGUCUUAAUAAAUGCACGUUUGUUGAUUUGUGUAAGCAUGAUGUGGGAAGUCUGCAAAUGGAUGUAAUCUGCACCGAGGGCACAUGUAAGCACCAG